Molecule: ribosomal RNA, 254 nt
Filed under: uncultured Bacteroidales bacterium
Lineage: Bacteria; Pseudomonadati; Bacteroidota; Bacteroidia; Bacteroidales
Description: partial 16S ribosomal RNA
Rfam family: Bacterial small subunit ribosomal RNA
Source: RNAcentral
UACAGAGGUCUCAAGCGUUGUUCGGAAUCACUGGGCGUAAAGGGUGCGUAGGCUGUAAGGUAAGUCAGCGGUGAAAUGCCCCCGCUCAACGGGGUGAAGUGCCAUUGAUACUGCCUUGCUGGAAUGCGGAUGCCGUGGGAGGAAUGUGUGGUGUAGCGGUGAAAUGCAUAGAUAUCACACAGAACACCGAUUGCGAAGGCAUCUCACGAAUCCGCGAUUGACGCUGAUGCACGAAAGCGUGGGUAUCAAACAGG